This is a long non-coding RNA of Gasterosteus aculeatus aculeatus (three-spined stickleback), 1103 nucleotides long. Lineage: Eukaryota; Metazoa; Chordata; Actinopteri; Perciformes; Gasterosteidae. The record is from Ensembl.
GGACGGUCGAGAAUAGGGCGGAUAUAUUGUUUUAAUGAUACAAUACCUGCUAACGCUAAAUAUCAUGAUGUGUUGUGUUGAGUUUGAGAUAAAAUAGAUCCAGCGGUGCCGGAUCACGCCGGUCCGCACCUCCGAUAUCACUGCGCCGCCGACUCACGUCAUUUUCGCCAGCGUGUCCGGAGGGAAAGGAGUCCCCGGCACGAGCUCCGCUGUUUUGUUAAAUGCACACUUUUUAAACCUGCCUGAAGAAGGUCUAGUUGAGACCGAAACGUUGCGGUGUUGUUUUGUGCCUGUUCCCAUGUUCCUGCUGGAGAAAAUAAACGGUAAAGAAAACCUUUUCGCCGAUUUUUUCCUAAGCUAAGUGCUUUUGUGGCUAAGUUAGCCCAAAGCUAAUGAGGCUAAUCGAGCCCAACAUGCGGUGAAAUGCUAACAAAGAUGGCGGAGCAACGAGUGAGCAGAUUAUGGACGUGAGCGAGCCGGGUGCCAUGGGUGACUGCGAGGCUGUGACCUAGUCAGGUCCCCUUCUCCUAAACACAACCACACAGUUUUCUAUUGUUGGAGGGAGGCUGUGACCUAACCUGGUCCCCUUUUUCCUAAACACAACAUUAGUAAAUGUAUUAUUUGCAAGCCUAAUCUGGCCCUUUAAUGCAUGGAUAUAAUAAAACAACACAUUUUACAGCGGAUUUAUGACAUCUCACUCCUUCACAAACCUUAAUAGUUAAGUUAUAAUUUACUGACAUGCAUAGAAUGCCUACCUGGUGUCAUGCUAUUAUAAUUCCAUCACUUGUGUGUACAGGAUUACAAUCUGUUAAACAAUGCUGACUCUUAGAAAUGUAUGCACUAUUCUUUAAGGACGACGCUCUAUUGAAGCACAAUUACGGAUCCACAGAAAGAAGCACGAUUGAGAGUACGGCCAAUAUAUUGUUUUAUGAUGUUUUGCACUGUGAACACAAUAAGAUGAUGUGAUAUUUCAGUUUAAUAUUACUGACAGGCAUUGAAUACUAACUUUGUGUCAUGCUUUGAAGGAUUCCACCACUCAUGUGUACAGGAUUGUGAUCGUUUUUAUUUAAACAAUGCUUAUUCUUGACAAUGUAUACAUAAAU